This 253-nucleotide ribosomal RNA is filed under the name uncultured bacterium. RNAcentral's name for it is "partial 16S ribosomal RNA". It matches the Rfam family "Bacterial small subunit ribosomal RNA", at positions 524 to 776 of the family's 1533-position model. The record is from RNAcentral.
CACGUAGGGCGCGAGCGUUGUCCGGAAUUAUUGGGCGUAAAGAGCUCGUAGGCGGCCUGUUGCGUCCGCUGUGAAAGCCCGGGGCUUAACCCCGGGUCGGCAGUGGAUACGGGCAGGCUAGAGGUAGGUAGGGGAGAAUGGAAUUCCCGGUGUAGCGGUGAAAUGCGCAGAUAUCGGAAGGAACAUCAGUGGCGAAAGCGGCUUCCUGGACCAGUACCGACGUUCAGGCACGAAAGCGUGGGGAGCAAACAGG